CGACUCUGGUUUCUCUUCAUUACGCACAAGCCUUUCGCCUUUUACUAAAGACUUCCGUGGAGAGGAACACUUACGAGUUCAACGUAUUUUUGGGAAGGGCUUUGCUUCUGGCAGAGCC
RNAcentral lists this small nuclear RNA (118 nucleotides) under Salmo trutta (river trout). RNAcentral describes it as "U5 spliceosomal RNA (ENSSTUG00000004597.1)". It matches the Rfam family "U5 spliceosomal RNA". Rfam says of the family: U5 RNA is a component of both types of known spliceosome. The precise function of this molecule is unknown, though it is known that the 5' loop is required for splice site selection and p220 binding, and that both the 3' stem-loop and the Sm site are important for Sm protein binding and cap methylation. Lineage: Eukaryota; Metazoa; Chordata; Actinopteri; Salmoniformes; Salmonidae. The record is from Rfam by way of RNAcentral.